UGAAAUCAAGUGUGACGACCCGCUGAACUUAAGCAUAUCAA
RNAcentral lists this ribosomal RNA (41 nucleotides) under Dermanyssus sp. MAR. Its description in RNAcentral is "partial 28S ribosomal RNA". The record is from RNAcentral. Lineage: Eukaryota; Metazoa; Arthropoda; Arachnida; Mesostigmata; Dermanyssidae.